This 229-nucleotide ribosomal RNA is filed under the name uncultured bacterium. RNAcentral describes it as "partial 16S ribosomal RNA". It matches the Rfam family "Bacterial small subunit ribosomal RNA", at positions 524 to 750 of the family's 1533-position model. The record is from RNAcentral.
UACGAAGGGGGCUAGCGUUGUUCGGAAUUACUGGGCGUAAAGCGCGCGCAGGCGGUCUUCCAAGUCAGUGGUGAAAGCCCGGAGCUCAACUCCGGAACUGCCAUUGAAACUGUUAGACUUGAGGACGAGAGAGGUGAGUGGAAUUCCCAGUGUAGAGGUGAAAUUCGUAGAUAUCGGGAGGAACACCGAGUGGCGAAGGGCGCGGCCUGGGAAGAUACUGACGCAUGAG